AUUGAACGCUGGCGGCAGGCCUAACACAUGCAAGUCGAGCGGAAGAAGGGGGCUUGCUCCCGGAUUCAGCGGCGGACGGGUGAGUAACGCGUAGGAAUCUACCUGAUAGUGGGGGAUAACGUUUCGAAAGGAACGCUAAUACCGCAUACGUUCUGAGGAAGAAAGCAGGGGAUCGCAAGACCUUGCGCUAUCAGAUGAGCCUGCGUCCGAUUAGCUAGUUGGUGGGGUAAAGGCCUACCAAGGCGACGAUCGGUAACUGGUCUGAGAGGAUGAUCAGUCACACUGGAACUGAGACACGGUCCAGACUCCUACGGGAGGCAGCAGUGGGGAAUAUUGGACAAUGGGGGCAACCCUGAUCCAGCCAUGCCGCGUGUGUGAAGAAGGCCUUCGGGUUGUAAAGCACUUUAAGCGGGGAGGAAGGCUCUAUGGCUAAUAUCCAUGGGGAUUGACGUUACCCGCAGAAUAAGCACCGGCAAACUUCGUGCCAGCAGCCGCGGUAA
This 500-nucleotide ribosomal RNA is filed under the name uncultured bacterium. RNAcentral describes it as "partial 16S ribosomal RNA". It matches the Rfam family "Bacterial small subunit ribosomal RNA", at positions 30 to 523 of the family's 1533-position model. The record is from RNAcentral.